UCCAAAGGUAGAUGUUGGGUUGGCGUAUUUCGAGAUUAGGAUUUGUCACUCCGAUUGUCGGAGAGGUAUCUCUGGGCCCUCUCGGUAAUGCACAUCACUUAAGCCUUGCAAGCAUUACAACUAAUGAGUUAGUUGCGAGAUGAUGUAUUACGGAACGAGUAAAGAGACUUGCCGGUAACGAGAUUGAACUAGGUAUUGGAUACCGACGAUCGAAUCUCGAGCAAGUAACAUACCGAUGACAAAGGGAACAACGUAUGUUGUUAUGCGGUCUGACCGAUAAAUAUCUUCGUAGAAUAUGUAGGAGCCAAUAUGGGCAUCCAGGUCCCGCUAUUGGUUAUUGACCGGAGACGUGUCUCGGUCAUGUCUACAUUGUUCUCGAACCGUAGGGUCCGCACGCUUAAGGUUUCGAUGACAGUUAUAUUAUGAGUUUAUGAGUUUUGAUGUACCUAAGGAGUUCGGAGUCCCGGAUGAGAUCGGGGACAUGACAAGGAGUCUUGAAAUGGUGGAGACGUAAAGAUCGAUAUAUUGGACGACUAUAUUCGGACAUCGGAAAGGUUCCGAGUGAUUCGGGUAUUUUUCGGAGUACCGGGUAGUUACGGGAGAAGUAAUGGGCCUUGAUGGGCUUUAGUGGGAAGAGGAAAAGGCUGCUGCGCCCCCCCUCCCCUUUGGUCCGAAUUGGACUAGGGAAAAGGGGGCCGGCCACCUCUCCUUCUCCUCCUAUUCCUUCUCCCUUCCUCCCCUCUUGAUGGACUCCUACUAGGACUUGGAGUCCUAGUAGGACUCCCAUCCUGGCCGCACCUUAUGGCUUGGCCGGCCUCCUCCUCCUUCAUCCUUUAUAUACAGGGGCAGGGGGCACCCCAUAGACACACAAGUUGAUCAUUGUUGAUCGUUCCUUAGCCGUGUGCGGUGCCCCCUGCCACCAAAUUCCACCUCGAUCAUACCGUUGUAGUGCUUAGGCGAAGCCCUGCGUCGGUAGUACAUCAAGAUCGUCACCACGCCGUCGUGCUGACGGAACUCCUCCCCGAAGCUUUGCUGGAUCGGAGCCCGGGGAUCGUCAUCGAGCUGAACGUGUGCUAAGAACUCGGAGGUGCCGGAGUAACGGUGCUUGGAUCGGUCGGAUCGGGAAGAAGACGUACGACUACUUCCUCUACGUUGUGUCAACGCUUCCGUUGCGAUCUACAAGGGUACGUAGAUCAGACUCUCCCCCUCGUUGCUAUGCAUCACCAUGAUCUUGCGUGUGCGUAGGAAAUUUUUUGAAAUUACUACGUUCCCCAACAGUGGCAUCCGAGCCUAGGUUUUAUGGUUUGAUGUUAUAUGCACGAGUAGAACACAAGUGAGUUGUGGGCGAUAUAAGUCAUACUGCCUACCAGCAUGUCAUACUUUGGUUCGGCGGUAUUGUCGGAUGAAGCGGCCCGGACCGACAUUACGCGUACGCUUACGCGAGACCGGUUUCCCCGACGUGCUUUGCACAUAGGUGACUUGCGGGUGACUGUUUCUCCAACUUUAGUUGAACCGAGUGUGGCUACGCCCGGUCCUUGCGAAGGUUAAAACGGAGUCUAUUUGACAAACUAUCGUUGUGGUUUUGAUGCGUAGGUGAGAUUGGUUCUUGCUUAAGCCCGUAGCAGCCACGUAAAACUUGCAACAACAAAGUAGAGGACGUCUAACUUGUUUUUGCAGGGCAUGUUGUGAUAUGAUAUGGUCAAGACGUGAUGAGAUAUAAGUUGUUGUAUGAGAUGAUCAUGUUUUGUUGAAGUUAUCGGCAACUGGCAAAACCUUAUGGUUGUCUCUUUAUUGCAUAAGAUGCAAGCGCCAAAUAAUUGCUUUACUUUAUCGCUAUGCGAUAGCAAUAGUUGCAAGAGCAAUAGUUGGCGAGACGACCGUGUGACGACACAUUGAUAUAGAUCAAGAUGAUGGAGAUCAUGGUGUCAUGCCGGUGAUGACAGAGAUCAUGACAGUACUUUGGAGAUGGAGAUCAAAGAAGCAAGAUGAUGAUGGCCAUAUCAUGUCACAUAUUUUGAUUGCAUAUGAUGUUUAUCUUUUAUACAUCUUAUUUUUGCUUUGAUUGACGGUAGCAUUAUAAGAUGAUCUCUCACUAAAUUAUCAAGAAGUGUUCUCCCUGAGUAUGCACCGUUGUGAAAGUUCUUCGUGCUGAGACACCACGUGAUGAUCGGGUGUGAUAGGUUCUACGUUCAAAUACAACGGGUGCAAAACAGUUGCACACGCGGAAUACUCAGGUUAUACUUGACGAGCCAAGCAUAUACAGAUAUGGCCUCGGAACACAGAGACCGAAAGGUCGAGCGUGAAUCAUAUAGUAGAUAUGAUCAACAUAACGAUGUUCACCAUUGAAAACUACUCCAUCUCACGUGAUGAUCGGUUAUGGUUUAGUUGAUUUGGAUCACGUGAUCACUUAGAGGAUUAGAGGGAUAUCUAUCUAAGUGGGAAUUCUUAAGUAAUAUGAUUAAUUGAACUUAAAUUUAUCAUGAACUUAGUCCUGGUAGUAUUUUGCAAAUUAUGUUAUAGAUCAAUAGCUCGCGUUGUUGCUUCCCUGUGUUUAUUUUGAUAUGUUCCUAGAGAAAAUUAUGUUGAAAGAUGUUAGUAGCAAUGAUGCGGAUUGGAUCCGUGAUAUGAGGUUUAUCCUCAUUGCUGCACAGAAGAAUUAUGUCCUUGAUGCACCGCUAGGUGACAGACCUAUUGCAGGAGCAGAUGCAGACGUUAUGAACGUUUGGCUGGCUCAAUAUGAUGACUACUUGAUAGUUUAGUGCACCAUGCUUAAUGGCUUAGAAUCGGGACUUCAAAGACGUUUUGAACGUCAUGGACCAUAUGAGAUGUUCCAGGAGUUGAAGUUAAUAUUUCAAGCAAAUACCCGAGUUGAGAGAUAUGAAGUCUCCAACAAGUUCUAUAGCUAAAAGAUGGAGGAGAAUCGCUCAACUAGUGAGCAUGUGCUCAGAUUGUCUGGGUACUACAAUCGCUUGAAUCAAGUGGGAGUUAAUCUUCCAGAUAAGAUAGUGAUUGACAGAAUUCUCUAGUCACCAUCACCAAGUUAGUAGAACUUCGUGAUGAACUAUGAUAUGCAAGGGAUAACGGAAACGACUCCCAAGCUCUUCGUAAUGCGGAAAUUGACGAAGGUAGAAAUCAAGAAAAACAUCAAGUGUUGAUGGUAGACAAGACCACUAGUUUCAAGAAAAGGGCAGAGGGAAGAAGGGGAACUUCAAGAAGAACGGCAAGCGAGUUGCUGCUCAAGUGAAGAAGCCCAAGUCUGAUCCUAAGCCUGAGAAUAAGUGCUUCUACUGCAAAGGGACUGGUCACUGGAAGCGGAACAACCCCAAGUGAUUGGCGGAUAAGAAGGAUGGCAAAGUGAACAUAAGUAUAUUUGAUAUACAUGUUAUUGAUGUGUACUUUACUAGUGUUUAUAGCAACCCCUUAGUAUUUGAUGCUAGUUCAGUUGCUAAGAGUAGUAACUCGAAACGGGAGUUGCAGAAUGAACAGAGACUAGUUAAGGGUGAAGUGACGAUGUGUGUUGGAAGUGGUUCCAAGAUUGAUAUGAUCAUCAUCGCACACUCCCUAUACUUUCGGGAUUAGUGUUGAACCUAAAUAAGUGUUAUUUGGUGUUUGCAUUGAGCAUGAAUAUGAUUUGAUCAUGUUUAUUAUAAUACGGUUAUUCAUUUAAGUAAAAGAAUAAAUUGUUGUUCUGUUUACAUGAAUAAAACCUUAUAUGGUUAGACACCCAAUGGAAAUAGUUCAUUGGAUCUCGAUCUUAAUAAUACACAUAUUCAUAAUAUUGAAACCAAAAGAUGCGAAGUUAAUAAUGAUAGUGCAACUUAUUUGUGGCACUGCCGUUUAAGUCAUAUUGGUGUAAAGCGCAUGAAGAAACUCCAUGCUGAUGGGAUUUUGGAAUCACUUGAUUAUGAAUCACUUGAUGCUUGCAAACCAUGCCUUAUGGGAAAGAUGACUAAACGCCGUUCUCCGGAACAAUGAAGCAAGCAACAGAUUUGUUGAAAAUCAUACAUACUGAUGUAUGUGGUCCGAUGAAUAUUAAGGCUUGCAGCAGGUAUCAUUAUUUUCUGACCUUCACAGAUGAUUUGAGCAGAUAUGGGGAUAUCUACUUGAUGAAACAUAAGUCUGAAACAUUUGAACAGUUCAAAGAAUUUCAGAGUGAAGUGGAAAAACCGUCGUGACAAGAAAAUAAAAGUUUCUACGAUAUGAUCGCAGAGGUAAAAUGUUUGAGUUACGAGUUUGGUCUUCAGUUAAAACAAUGCGAAAUAGUUUCACUACUCACGCCACCUGGAACACCACAGCAUAAUGGUGUGUCCGAACGUCAUAACCGUACUUAUUGGAUAUAGUGCAAUCUAUGAUGUUUCUUACCGAUUUACCACUAUCGUUUUGGGGUUAUGCAUUAGAGACAGCUGCAUUCACGUUAAAUAGGGCACCAUCUAAAUCCGUUGAGACGACACCGUGUGAACUAUGGUUUGGCAAGAAACCUAAGCUGUCGUUUCUUAAAGUUUGGGGUUGCGAUGCUUAUAUGAAAAAGUUUCAUCCUGAUAAGCUCAAACUCAAAUCGGAGAAGUGCGUCUUCAUAGGAUAUCCAAAGGAAACUAUUGGAUACCUUCUAUCACAGAUCCAAAGGCAAGACUUUUGUUGCUAAAAUUCGGAAACUUUCUGGAGAAGGAGUUUCUCUCGAAAGAAGUGAGUGGGAGGAAAGUAGAACUUGACGAGGUAACUGUACCUGCUCCCUUAUUGGAAAGUAGUACAUCACAGAAAACUGUUUCUGUGACACCUACACCAGUUAGUGAGGAAGCUAAUGAUGAUGAUCAUGAAACUUCAGAACAAGAUACUACUGAACCUCGUAGAUCAACCAGAGUAAGAUCCGCGCCAGAGUGGUACGGUAAUCCUUUUCUGGAAGUCAUGCUACUAGAUCAUGAUGAACCUACGAACUAUGAGCAAGCGAUGAUGAGCCCAGAUUCCGCGAAAUGGUUUGAGGCCAUGAAAUCUGAGAUAUGAUCCAUGUAUGAGAACAAAGUAUGGACUUUGAUGGAUUUUCCCGAUGAUCGGCAAACCAUAGAAAAUAAAUGGAUCUUCAAGAGGAAGACGGAUGCUGAUAGUAGUGUUACUAUCUACAAAGCUAGAAUUGUCAAAAAAGGUUUUCGACAAGUUCAAGGUGUUGACUACGAUGAGUUUUUCUCACUCGUAUCUAUGCUUAAGUCUGUCUGAAUCAUGUUAGCAAUUGCCGCAUUUUAUGAAAUCUGGCAAAUGGAUAAACAAAACUGCAUUCCUUAAUGGAUUUAUUAAAGAAGAGUUGUAUGUGAUGCAACUAGAAGGUUUUGUCAAUCCGAAAGGUGCUAACAAAAUGUGCAAGCUCCAGCGAUCCAUCUGUGGACUGGUGCAAGCAUCUCGGAGUUGGAAUAUACGCUUUGAUAAGUUGAUCAAAGCAUAUAGUUUUAUACAGACUUGCGGUGAAGCCUGUAUUUACGAGAAAGUGAGUGGGAGCACUACAGCAUUUCUGAUAAGUAUAUGUGAAUGACAUAUUGUUGAUCGGAAAUAAUGUAGAAUUAUUCUGUAAAGCAUAAAAGGAGUGUUUGAAAGGAGUUUUUCAAAGAAAGACUUCGAUAAAGCUGCUUACAUAUUGAGCUUCAAGAUCUAUAGAGAUAGAUCAAGACGCUUGAUAAGUUUUUCAAUAAGUACAUACCUUGACAAGAUUUUGAAGUAGUUCAAAACGGAACAGUGAAAGAAAAAGUUUCUUGCCUGUGUUACAAGGUGUGAAGUUGAGUAAAGACUCAAAGCCCGACCACGGCAGAAGAUAGAAAGAGAAUGAAAGUCAUUCCCUAUGCCUCAUUCAUAGGUUCUAUAAAGUAUGCCAUGCUGUGUACCAGAUCUAUUGUAUACCCUGCACUGAUUUGGUAAGGGAGUACAAUAGUGAUCUAGGAGUAGAUCACUGGACAGCGGUCAGAAUUAUCCUUAGUGAAAUAAGGAUGUGUUUCUUGAUUAUGGAUGUGACAAAAAGGUUCGUCGUAAAGGGUUACGUCGAUGCAAGUUUUUUACACUGAUCCAGAUGAAUCUAAAGUCACAAUCUGGAUACAUAUUGAAAGUGGGAGCAAUUAGGUAGAGUAGCUCCGUGCAGAGCAUUAUAGACAAAGAAUUUUGCAAAAUACUUACGGAUCUGAAUGUGACAGACCUGUUGACUAAAAUUAUCUCACAAGCAAAAACAUGAUCACACCUUAGUACUCUUUGGGUGUUAAUCACAUAGAGAUGUGAACUAGAUUACUGACUCUAGUAAACCCUUUGAGUGUUGGUCACAUGACGAUGUGAACUAUUGGUGUUAAUCACAUGGUGAUGUGAACUAUUGCUGCUAAAUCACAAGGCGAUGUGAACUAGAUUAUUGACUCUAGUGCAAGUGGGAGACUGAAGGAAAUAUGCCCUAGAGGCAAUAAUAAAGUUAUUAUUUAUUUCCUUAUAUCAUGAUAAAUGUUUAUUAUUCAUGCUAGAAUUGUAUUAACCGGAAACAUAAUACAUGUGUGAAUACAUAGACAAACAGAGUGUCACUAGUAUGCCUCUACUUGACUAGCUCGUUAAUCAAAGAUGGUUAUGUUUCCUAACCAUGGACAAAAGAGUUGUUAUUUGAUUAACGAGGUCACAUCAUUAGUUGAAUGAUCUGAUUGACAUGACCCAUUCCAUUAGCUUAGCACACGAUCGUUUAGUAUGUUGCUAUUGCUUUCUUCAUGACUUAUACAUGUUCCUAUGACUAUGAGAUUAUGCAACUCCCGUUUGCCGGAGGAACACUUUGGGUGCUACCAAACGUCACAACGUAACUGGGUGAUUAUAAAGGAGCAUUACAGGUGUCUCCAAAGGUAGAUGUUGGGUUGGCGUAUUUCGAGAUUAGGAUUUGUCACUCCGAUUGUCGGAGAGGUAUCUCUGGGCCCUCUUGGUAAUGCACAUCACUUAAGCCUUGCAAGCAUUACAACUAAUGAGUUAGUUGCGAGAUGAUGUAUUACGGAACGAGUAAAGAGACUUGCCGGUAACGAGAUUGAACUAGGUAUUGGAUACCGACGAUCGAAUCUCGGGCAAGUAACAUACCGAUGACAAAGGGAACAACGUAUGUUGUUAUGCGGUCUGACCGAUAAAGAUCUUCG
RNAcentral lists this long non-coding RNA (7124 nucleotides) under Triticum aestivum (bread wheat). Its description in RNAcentral is "long non-coding RNA (TAES_LNC009703)". The record is from RNAcentral. Lineage: Eukaryota; Viridiplantae; Streptophyta; Magnoliopsida; Poales; Poaceae.